UAAUACGUAGGUGGCAAGCGUUGUCCGGAAUUAUUGGGCGUAAAGCGCGCGCAGGCGGUUCCUUAAGUCUGAUGUGAAAGCCCACGGCUCAACCGUGGAGGGUCAUUGGAAACUGGGGGACUUGAGUGCAGAAGAGGAGAGCGGAAUUCCACGUGUAGCGGUGAAAUGCGUAGAGAUGUGGAGGAACACCAGUGGCGAAGGCGGUUCUCUGGUCUGUAACUGACGCUGAGGCGCGAAAGCGUGGGGAGCAAACAGGAUUAGAUACCCUGGUAGUCCACGCCGUAAACGAUGAGUGCUAAGUGUUAGAGGGUAUCCACCCUUUAGUGCUGUAGCUAACGCAUUAAGCACUCCGCCUGGGGAGUACGCUCGCAAGAGUG
This 377-nucleotide ribosomal RNA is filed under the name uncultured bacterium. RNAcentral describes it as "bacterial SSU rRNA". It matches the Rfam family "Bacterial small subunit ribosomal RNA", at positions 521 to 896 of the family's 1533-position model. The record is from RNAcentral.